Molecule: ribosomal RNA, 521 nt
Filed under: Boiga beddomei
Lineage: Eukaryota; Metazoa; Chordata; Lepidosauria; Squamata; Colubridae
Description: partial 16S ribosomal RNA
Rfam family: Bacterial large subunit ribosomal RNA
Source: RNAcentral
AAAACAUAACCUUUAGCCAAACAAAUAUUAAAGGCAACGCCUGCCCAGUGAACAAUUAAACGGCCGCGGUACCCUAACCGUGCAAAGGUAGCAUAAUCAUUUGUCUACUAAUUAUAGACCUGUAUGAAAGGCAAAAUGAGGGCCUAACUGUCUCUUAUGGUAGACCAAUUAAACUGAUCUCUCAGUAAAAAAGCUGAGAUACCCACAUAAGACCAGAAGACCCUGUGAAGCUUAAACUAAACUAUUAAACCCAAUAAUAGAUACUUUCGGUUGGGGCGACCUUGGAAAAAAAAAGAACUUCCAAUAAAACCUACUUCCUAGACCACCACAGGCCUACAAGCCACAAACGACCCAGCAUAGCUGAUAAUAGAACCAAGUUACUCCAGGGAUAACAGCGCAAUCUUCUUCAAGAGCCCAUAUCAAAAAGAAGGUUUACGACCUCGAUGUUGGAUCAGGACAUCCUAAUGGUGCAACCGCUAUUAAGGGUUCGUUUGUUCAACGAUUAAUAGUCCUACGUGAUC